GCCAACUUAGCUCAACAGGUAGAGCGAUUGACUUGUAAUCAAUAGGUCGUGGGUUCGAUCCCUACAGUUGGCA
Molecule: transfer RNA, 73 nt
Filed under: Bacillus cereus
Lineage: Bacteria; Bacillati; Bacillota; Bacilli; Caryophanales; Bacillaceae
Also listed under: 4 other names
Description: tRNA-Thr
Rfam family: tRNA
About the family: Transfer RNA (tRNA) molecules are approximately 80 nucleotides in length.
Source: RNAcentral